GGGUGAGUGGCGGAACUGGUAGAAGCGCAGGACUUAGAAUCCUGUGGCCGAAAGGCCGUCGGGGUCCAACUCCCGGCUCGCCCA
Molecule: transfer RNA, 84 nt
Filed under: Gemmatimonadales bacterium
Lineage: Bacteria; Pseudomonadati; Gemmatimonadota; Gemmatimonadia; Gemmatimonadales
Description: tRNA-Leu
Rfam family: tRNA
About the family: Transfer RNA (tRNA) molecules are approximately 80 nucleotides in length. Their secondary structure includes four short double-helical elements and three loops (D, anti-codon, and T loops).
Source: RNAcentral